This 345-nucleotide unclassified non-coding RNA is filed under the name soil metagenome. RNAcentral describes it as "partial contains 5.8S ribosomal RNA, internal transcribed spacer 2, and large subunit ribosomal RNA". The stretch from base 1 to 119 matches the Rfam family "5.8S ribosomal RNA", at positions 35 to 154 of the family's 154-position model. The record is from RNAcentral.
GAUGAAGAACGUAGCGAAAUGCGAUACGUAAUGUGAAUUGCAAAUUCAGUGAAUCAUCGAGUCUUUGAACGCACAUUGCGCCCCCUGGUAUUCCGGGGGGCAUGCCUGUCCGAGCGUCAUUGCUGCCCUCAAGCACGGCUUGUGUGUUGGGCUCCGUCCUCCGAUUCCGGGGGACGGGCCCGAAAGGCAGCGGCGGCACCGCGUCCGGUCCUCGAGCGUAUGGGGCUUUGUCACCCGCUCUGUAGGCCCGGCCGGCGCUUGCCGAUCAACCCAAAUUUUUAUCCAGGUUGACCUCGGAUCAGGUAGGGAUACCCGCUGAACUUAAGCAUAUCAAUAAGCGGAGGA